UUUCUUCUCAUAGGCUUAUUAUUAUUAUUUUGUAAAAUCUCUUAUUUCAGGUAGCCUGCCUCCUCACUUUCAAAUACCUGAGGCUGACCAUGCUGGAAAUGCUGUCAUUUCACCUCUGAGAGAAUGAUUAAAUCUUCCUUCGAGGGGUGCCCCUUCAUUGCCCCCUGGACUGGAUCUGCCCCCACACUCAGUGAACGCUCUUGUAUAUAGGUCAUAUUCAGGGAGCUGCUGCACUGCCACUGAAUCCCCCCAAAAUCACAUUCUGUGAACAGAAGAAAGAAGGGUGCCACAUCUGGGAGGGCCAGAUGCCUGUGUGAGAAAGACAUUUUGGAAAAGAGCCUGUUGCCCACAGUGGACUGUAUACAGAAUAAAAUAAUCAAAAGCUGCGUCAGGGCAAGGCGUGACUUCUGCAGGGCUGGAACACAGAGGUUGUCAAAGAAAAUGGAAAACCGUUUGAAGACAAACAAAAGAAGAGUGGAACAAGCAAUAUCGGGGAUCAUGUUUAAGGAGAGCUGA
RNAcentral lists this long non-coding RNA (516 nucleotides) under Struthio camelus australis. RNAcentral's name for it is "lncRNA (ENSSCUG00000008154.1)". Lineage: Eukaryota; Metazoa; Chordata; Aves; Struthioniformes; Struthionidae. The record is from RNAcentral.